UUUCUUUUCGUCUCAUUCUCACACUUUCGCUCACCCACAACCCACGCAAAACCCAAGAAUGCAGGCUCAUAGCUUACGAAUACAACGCUUCUUAGUGGACAAUUUUGGAGGGAAGCCAAGGUUGAAGAAGCUGUGAACCUGAAAGCUAAUUGUGUUCUUGAACCUUCAAACCUUGCUAUGGAGGUGGGCUCAGAUUCAAACCCUCUUCUUUCUCACUUAUCUCUUCCAAACUCUUGCCAUUCGUCCGUCGAUCGUGGGUGAAGAGUCUGUUGUGGUUCGUCAAUCGUGAGUACAAGUCUAUUCGUCGUGCAGGUCUGUUCAUCGAUUCACCUCUAUUUGUCGUCGAUCGUGGAGGUAUGUUGUGGUUCCAGCAUCCAUUCGUCGAUCCGAUCUCCGUUCGUCAUCGAUCUGGCCUCUGUGUCGUCGCUCGUCAACCAAAUCCACUUCUCCGCUGGACAUUUUCCCUUUUUCAGUUCCACCGACCACCCUACAGAGAUAGUCAGAGACUGGUAAUUUGUUGAGCAACUUCUGGUUUGUGUGAUGGAAAGAUGUAUCCAGGGGAAGAAGAAGAACAUUUAGUUCAUUCAGAGAAUUUUUGUUUUGUUAGAGGGAAAGGAGAUUGCAGAAAGGUAGGUAGAGUUUCCGGUGAAAAAUUUACACAUUUCUAUUCAAUAAUCUUUAGAAAUUUUGGUGUAUUGUGAAUAUUAUCAUCAUUAUCAUUAUUAUUAUCAUAAUUAUUGUUGUUAUUAUUAUUACAAUGGCUAUAAUUAUUUUGUUCUUUUUUGUCUUGAAUGCAAAAUCUCUACAAUAAACAUAUCAAGAAUAGUGUUCUCUUUGUUUUAUAUCUAUGUCUUGUUUUGCUUCUCAGUUCUGUAAGUUCAUUCUAAUAUUGCAAUGGGGAUAGAAUAGUAGGGAUAGUCAAUCUUGUCAGCAUUACCAUUUUCGUAAUGUAGAAGUCUAAAACUAGAUUACAACAGUAAUGUAGAACUUUUUACAUUAUUUAUUUUUGCAUGAAAAGUGAUAUUCAAUGGCUUGACCAUGAAAAUUGGGUUUUACCUUAGUGUUUGUUUGAAUGUUGUUGAGUUUUUUUCUUCAGUGGCAUUGAUAUACAUACAGAGAGAGGACUGAAUCAAUGUUAGUUUUUUAACACAACAUCAAUGGCGUUGGACUGGUGUAGUUGGCUAGAGAAUAGUACUUAAAGGUGCUUUUCUGCUUGAAUGUCUCUUUGUUCUUGUUUUCUACCCUAAAAUUUGCCUGUGGAUUUUUUUUUUUUUUUAGUUUCUAUAUUGUUUGAUUGUAGAAAAAAGACAUCAAGAAAGAGGCAAAAUGGGUAUGUUUCUAUAGUGGACACUUUGUAUUAGAGAAAAUCUCUUUUUCUAAAUACUAUAGUGGACACUUUGUACUGCUUGUUGGAUGUUUACAUCUUAUUAUUGCUCCAUGAACUACAUGUUAAAUUUGGAUUGAGAAGUAACUUAAACUAUUCAAGUCUUGUUCUCCUUGUGGUAAUGGAAUUUUUGUGUCAAUAGAGAGGAUAAAUGAGAAUGUUGUUAAUUUAUCUUGUCUUCAUCAAUUGAAGACAAAUUGUUGCAAGAAAUGGAGCAGAGUAGGGAAGCUCGGAGUGCAAAUAUCAAUAAGCUUAAGAAUCAGUCUUCUUCUGAGUCCAACUCUAGUAGAAAUGUCGUAGAGAAAGCAGGCCAGUCUCAAUCUUUCGCAAUUUUGUAACUCUUUGUUCUCUGAUUCUGCAACUUGCUGCCGAAUUGAAAUGUUUAUUAUUGUUUAGCUCACAGUUUUUUUUUUUUUUUUUUGUGAAUUAAUUUUGUGAAUGUGUUCUUAUCAACGGUUUCAUGUCGAUGAUUUAAAGUAAACCUAGCUAUGUUAGUGAUAUUCUCGGAUUCCAAAUAGAAUUAGUGAGUCUUGUUUAAUUAAAUCGUGAUAUUUAUCAUAUUUUUUUUCAUUGUUUUUUUUAUUAUUGUCAUACUUAAAAAUUUCUCAGGGUUCUGGUGGAUGGUCGGGUUUUGAUAGUGGAGCUGGUAACUAUGGCAGAGGAGCAACAGCUCAAACUUUACUUGGAAAGUAUUGUCUUACACGCAAUUCAAAUAAUUUUUAGUGGAAUGAGUUAACGAGCUUGAUUGAAGAGAUUGUUGGCCUUUUUUUUCCUUUCUUUUAGCUUAUGAAAAUAUAUAAAUUUAAGUUUAUUAGAACUACUGUUUGUAAGUACAAAUUUUGUUAUUCUAUUUGGGAGCUAACUAUUAUUCGUACUCUAUGAGCAA
Non-coding RNA from Benincasa hispida (wax gourd), 2270 nucleotides. NCBI's taxonomy places the organism in Eukaryota, Viridiplantae, Streptophyta, Magnoliopsida, Cucurbitales, Cucurbitaceae. The record is from RefSeq and is a predicted model, not a curated record.